This 402-nucleotide ribosomal RNA is filed under the name Triticum aestivum (bread wheat). RNAcentral describes it as "partial small subunit ribosomal RNA". Lineage: Eukaryota; Viridiplantae; Streptophyta; Magnoliopsida; Poales; Poaceae. The record is from RNAcentral.
AUGAGCAUUGGUCUUAAUUUCAGCAAGUCAUCCUCCACUCUUGUUAGUGCAUUCUCUGACUCAGAUUGGGCAGGAUGUUUGGAUGAUAGACGGUCUAGUGGUGGCUUUGCAGUAUUUCUUGGACCUAACCUGAUUUCUUGGUGUGCCAGAAAGCAAGCCACUGUUUUCAGAUCCAGUACAGAGACAGAGUACAAGGCACUGGCCAAUGCUACAGCAGAAAUUAUAUGGGUUCAAUCCAUUCUUAAGGAGCUCGGUGUGAAAACUGCUCAGGCUCCAUGUCUGUGGUGUGAUAACUUGGGUGCAAGCUAUCUUUCAGCAAAUCCCGUUUUUCAUGCAAGAACAAAGCAUAUUGAGAUAGAUUUUCACUUUGUGAGAGAGAGAGAGUUGCUAAUAAACUCCUAG